RNAcentral lists this unclassified non-coding RNA (212 nucleotides) under Hevea brasiliensis (rubber tree). The record is from RNAcentral. Lineage: Eukaryota; Viridiplantae; Streptophyta; Magnoliopsida; Malpighiales; Euphorbiaceae.
GCAGCUAAAAGUUCAGUACAUGAAAAUUCAUCUUUUAAACAAAACCAGAUAACUCUAAAGCCAAAUAUAAUCUAUUUAGGAGAGACAGCAUAAUCAAGUCUGAUACCGUACAAGAAAAAUAAAUAUACCCAUGAUCAAAACAGAGACUGCAAUUUCUUCCCAGCAAAAAGAAACAAGGAACCGCAUCAUCAAUCACCCUUUCUCCUAAAAGA